Long non-coding RNA from Oncorhynchus tshawytscha (Chinook salmon), 547 nucleotides. Lineage: Eukaryota; Metazoa; Chordata; Actinopteri; Salmoniformes; Salmonidae. The record is from Ensembl.
UAGAGUGUGAGGAGGCAGGUAGCCUAGUGGUUAGAGUGUAGAGGAGGCAGGUAGCCUAGUGGUUAGAGUGUAGAGGAGGCAGGUAGCCUAGUGGUUAGAGUGUAGAGGAGGCAGGUAGCCUAGUGGUUAGAGUGUGAGGAGGCAGGUAGCCUAGUGGUUAGAGUGUAGAGGAGGCAGGUAGCCUAGUGGUUAGAGUGUAGAGGAGGCAGGUAGCCUAUUGGUUAGAGUGUAGAGGAGGCAGGUAGCCUAGUGGUUAGAGUGUAGGGGAGGCAGGUAGCCUAGUGGUUAGAGUGUAGAGGUGGCAGGUAGCCUAGUGGUUAGAGUGUAGAGGAGGCAGGUAGCCUAGUGGUUAGAGUGUAGAGGAGGCAGGUAGCCUAGUGGUUAGAGUGUAGAUGUGGCAGGUAGCCUAGUGGUUAGAGUGUAGAGGAGGCAGGUAGCCUAGUGGUUAGAGUGUAGAGGAGGUAGGUAGCCUAGUGGUUAGAGUGCAGAGGAGGCAGGUAGCCUAGUGGUUAGAGUGUAGAGGAGGCAGGUAGCCUAGUGGUUAGAG